Molecule: ribosomal RNA, 492 nt
Filed under: uncultured bacterium
Lineage: Bacteria
Description: partial 16S ribosomal RNA
Rfam family: Bacterial small subunit ribosomal RNA
Source: RNAcentral
AGUGAACGCUGGCGGUAGGCCUAACACAUGCAAGUCGAACGGCAGCACAGUAAGAGCUUGCUCUUACGGGUGGCGAGUGGCGGACGGGUGAGGAAUACAUCGGAAUCUACUUUUUCGUGGGGGAUAACGUAGGGAAACUUACGCUAAUACCGCAUACGACCUACGGGUGAAAGCAGGGGAUCUUCGGACCUUGCGCGAUUGAAUGGGCCGAUGUCGGAUUAGCUAGUUGGCGGGGUAAAGGCCCACCAAGGCGACGAUCCGUAGCUGGUCUGAGAGGAUGAACAGCCACACUGGAACUGAGACACGGUCCAGACUCCUACGGGAGGCAGCAGUGGGGAAUAUUGGACAAUGGGCGCAAGCCUGAUCCAGCCAUACCGCGUGGGUGAAGAAGGCCUUCGGGUUGUAAAGCCCUUUUGUUGGGAAAGAAAAGCAGCAGGUUAAUACCCCGCUGUUCUGACGGUACCCAAAGAAUAAGCACCGGCUAACUUCGUG